RNAcentral lists this ribosomal RNA (588 nucleotides) under uncultured marine eukaryote. Its description in RNAcentral is "SSU rRNA". It matches the Rfam family "Eukaryotic small subunit ribosomal RNA", at positions 614 to 1208 of the family's 1831-position model. The record is from RNAcentral.
UGCAGUUAAAAAGCUCGUAGUUGGAUUUCGGAACCGGCCGAUUGGUCCGUCCUCUGGAUCGUGUACUGAUCGGUCUGUUCUUCUUCGCGAAGACCGCGUGUGCUCUUAACUGAGUGGGCGUGGGAUUCGCGACGUUUACUUUGAAAAAAUUAGAGUGUUCAAAGCAGGCAGUCGCUUGAAUAUCUCAGCAUGGAAUAAUAGAAUAGGACUUUGGUCUUAUUUUGUUGGUUUCCGAGACCGAAGUAAUGAUUAAUAGGGACAGUUGGGGGCAUUCGUAUUUCACUGUCAGAGGUGAAAUUCUUGGAUUUAUGAAAGACGAACUUCUGCGAAAGCAUUUGCCAAGGAUGUUUUCAUUAAUCAAGAACGAAAGUUGGGGGCUCGAAGAUGAUUAGAUACCAUCCUAGUCUCAACCAUAAACGAUGCCGACUAGGGAUUGGUGGAUGUUAAUUGAUGACUUCACCAGCACCUUAUGAGAAAUCAAAGUUUUUGGGUUCCGGGAGGAGUAUGGUCGCAAGGCUGAAACUUAAAGGAAUUGACGGAAGGGCACCACCAGGAGUGGAGCCUGCGGCUUAAUUUGACUCAACACGG